UAAAUUUUUACGACAAUUGAAGCAUCCUAAUACUAUUGAGUACAAAGGCUGUUACUUGAAAGAGCACACUGCUUGGUUGGUGAUGGAAUAUUGCUUAGGCUCAGCCUCUGAUUUAUUAGAAGUUCAUAAAAAACCACUUCAGGAAGUGGAGAUCGCUGCCAUUACUCAUGGAGCCUUGCAUGGACUAGCCUACCUACAUUCUCAUGCAUUGAUUCAUAGUUCUGUCUGCCAAUGCCUAAUGUCACCAUGAGGAAGGAAACUGAAUUUUCAAGGGAAGUUUUUAUAAAAGUUAUUUUGAAGCAUUUGAACCUUAUCAUUUUCAGCUUGACAUAAAUUUUCAUCAUCUUCUCUGUUUUAUCUUUUCACUGACCAUCAACUUCCAAUUCAUGGUUUCUAGUGCUCAUUACACCUCAUGCCUUUUUUAAAAAGAAUAAGGAGUACAUCCACCCCUUCUCAUUCUAAAUUACCAUACUGAAAAAUGAAUUUUUUUAAUUAUAUUUUUAAAACUUUUUGCUAUAUAAUACCUCUAUUAGCUUUAGUAGUAACCACGUGCAAUUCUUUGUAGUAAUACAAUAGAAAUGUAAUUUCCUAACCCCUAAUCCUUGUUUGUUUUGAUCUUUCAGGGUCUUCUUUUUACUGUACAGAGUUAUUUUUAAAAUAUCACCUUCUAUAUAACAUGUACCUCAAAUGCCUUAGAGUUGCAGUUACAAUUAAAGACAGAGAGAAAGGGUCACAGGCAAGAAAGAAAAGGUAUGUGUGUAGUUGAGGUUUAUUGGUAGGUGGUCAAUACGGAAUCAUUGCAGGUUUGUUUAGGCUCCAAAAAUGUCACAUAAUUUGGAAAAGCAGAAAAAGCAGUUAAAAUUGGCACCAAUUUUCUCAGCACAGGGAAUACUAUUGAUAACUGGAUUUAGCCUUUAAGAAUAUGCCUUUGUAAGUGUAGCAGCUGAAUAGGUUUUCUUGUUCGCCAUGUCUGCCUUUUUCCUCAUUGUAUUCCCUCCCUCUGAAGAAAGCUCUACCUUUAAGUAAUUACUAUGACCUACCUGCAAGUACACCCAGGAAUCUGGGCCCCCUUACAACAUGCAGUAAUUACUAAAUCUCCUUCUGGCUAUCUGAGCAAGGGAUAUUAAAGCAGGAAAUAUUCUUCUAACAGAGCCAGGUCAGGUAAAACUAGCUGAUUUUGGAUCUGCCUCAGUGGCUUCUCCUGCCAACUCCUUCGUGGGCACACCUUACUGGAUGGCUCCAGAGGUGAUCUUAGCUAUGGAUGAAGGACAGUAUGAUGGGAAAGUUGAUGUUUGGUCACUUGGCAUCACUUGUAUUGAAUUGGCGGAACGGAAGCCCCCCCUUUUCAACAUGAAUGCAAUGAGUGCCUUAUAUCACAUUGCCCAGAAUGACUCCCCAACGUUACAGUCUAAUGAAUGGACAGACUCCUUUAGGAGAUUUGUUGAUUACUGCUUGCAGAAAAUACCUCAGGAAAGGCCAACAUCAGCAGAACUAUUAAGGCAUGACUUUGUUCGGCGAGACCGGCCACUGCGUGUCCUCAUUGACCUCAUACAGAGGACAAAAGAUGCAGUUCGUGAGCUAGAUAACCUACAGUACCGAAAAAUGAAAAAAAUACUUUUCCAAGAGACACGGAAUGGACCCUUGAAUGAGUCACAGGAGGAUGAGGAAGACAGUGAACAUGGAACCAGCCUGAACAGGGAAAUGGAUAGCCUGGGCAGCAACCAUUCCAUUCCAAGCAUGUCCGUGAGCACAGGCAGCCAGAGCAGCAGUGUGAAUAGCAUGCAGGAAGUCAUGGACGAGAGCAGUUCUGAACUUGUCAUGAUGCACGAUGAUGAAAGCACAAUCAAUUCCAGCUCCUCCGUCGUGCAUAAGAAGGAUCAUGUAUUCAUAAGGGAUGAGGCGGGCCACGGCGAUCCCAGGCCUGAGCCGCGGCCUACCCAGUCAGUUCAGAGCCAGGCCCUCCACUACCGGAACAGAGAGCGCUUUGCCACGAUCAAAUCAGCAUCUUUGGUUACACGACAGAUCCAUGAGCAUGAGCAGGAGAACGAGUUGCGGGAACAGAUGUCAGGUUAUAAGCGGAUGCGGCGCCAGCACCAGAAGCAGCUGAUCGCCCUGGAGAACAAGCUGAAGGCUGAGAUGGACGAGCACCGCCUCAAGCUACAGAAGGAGGUGGAGACGCAUGCCAACAACUCGUCCAUCGAGCUGGAGAAGCUGGCCAAGAAGCAAGUGGCUAUCAUAGAAAAGGAGGCAAAGGUAGCUGCAGCAGAUGAGAAGAAGUUCCAGCAACAGAUCUUGGCCCAGCAGAAGAAAGAUUUGACAACUUUCUUAGAAAGUCAGAAGAAGCAGUAUAAGAUUUGUAAGGAAAAAAUAAAAGAGGAAAUGAAUGAGGACCAUAGCACACCCAAGAAAGAGAAGCAAGAGCGGAUCUCCAAACAUAAAGAGAACUUGCAGCACACGCAGGCCGAAGAGGAAGCCCACCUUCUCACUCAACAGAGACUGUACUACGACAAAAAUUGUCGUUUCUUCAAGCGGAAAAUAAUGAUCAAGCGGCACGAGGUGGAGCAGCAGAACAUUCGGGAGGAACUAAAUAAAAAGAGGACCCAGAAGGAGAUGGAGCAUGCCAUGCUAAUCCGGCACGACGAGUCCACUCGAGAGCUAGAGUACAGGCAGCUGCACACGUUACAGAAGCUACGCAUGGAUCUGAUCCGUUUACAGCACCAGACUGAACUGGAAAACCAGCUGGAGUACAAUAAGAGGCGAGAAAGGGAACUGCACAGAAAGCAUGUCAUGGAACUUCGGCAACAGCCAAAAAACUUAAAGGCCAUGGAAAUGCAAAUUAAAAAACAGUUUCAGGACACUUGCAAAGUACAGACCAAACAGUAUAAAGCACUCAAGAAUCACCAGUUGGAAGUUACUCCAAAGAAUGAGCACAAAACAAUCUUAAAGACACUGAAAGAUGAGCAGACAAGAAAACUUGCCAUUUUGGCAGAGCAGUAUGAACAGAGUAUAAAUGAAAUGAUGGCCUCUCAAGCGUUACGGCUAGAUGAGGCUCAAGAAGCAGAAUGCCAGGCCUUGAGGCUACAGCUCCAGCAGGAAAUGGAGCUGCUCAACGCCUACCAGAGCAAAAUCAAGAUGCAAACAGAGGCACAACAUGAACGUGAGCUCCAGAAGCUAGAGCAGAGAGUGUCUCUGCGCAGAGCACAUCUUGAGCAGAAGAUUGAAGAGGAGCUGGCUGCCCUUCAGAAGGAACGCAGCGAGAGAAUAAAGAACCUAUUGGAAAGGCAAGAGCGAGAGAUUGAAACUUUUGACAUGGAGAGCCUCAGAAUGGGAUUUGGGAAUUUGGUUACAUUAGAUUUUCCUAAGGAGGACUAUAGAUGAGAUUAAAUUUUUUGCCAUUUACAAAAAAAAAAAAAGAAAACAGAAAAAAAUUCAGACCCUGCAAAACCACAUUCCCCAUUUUAACGGGCGUUGCUCUCACUCUCUCUCUCUCUUACUCUUACUGACAUCGUGUCGGACUAGUGCCUGUUUAUUCUUACUCCAUCAGGGGCCCCUUCCUCCCCCCGUGUCAACUUUCAGUGCUGGCCAAAACCCGGCCGUCUCUUCUAUUCAUAGUACACGUCACAGUAUUGAUGUGAUUCAAAAUGUUUCAGUGAAAACUUUGGAGACAGUUUUAACAAAACCAAUAAACCAACAACAAAAAAAGUGGAUGUAUAUUGCUUUAAGCAAUCACUCAUUACCACCAAUCUGUGAAAGUAAAGCAAAAAAAAAAAUAAUAAAUGCCAAGGGGGAGAGAGACACAAUAUCCGCAGCCUUACACCUUAACUAGCUGCUGCAUUAUUUUAUUUUAUUUUAUUUUUUUGGUAUUUAUUCAUCAGGAAUAAAAAAAACAAAGUUUUAUUAAAGAUUGAAAAUUUGAUACAUUUUA
Molecule: small RNA, 3925 nt
Filed under: Pongo abelii (Sumatran orangutan)
Lineage: Eukaryota; Metazoa; Chordata; Mammalia; Primates; Hominidae
Description: retained intron
Source: RNAcentral